This 370-nucleotide ribosomal RNA is filed under the name uncultured organism. RNAcentral's name for it is "partial 16S ribosomal RNA". It matches the Rfam family "Bacterial small subunit ribosomal RNA", at positions 527 to 896 of the family's 1533-position model. The record is from RNAcentral.
GGAGAGUGCAAGCGUUAAUCGGAAUUACUGGGCGUAAAGCGCACGUAGGUGGAUAUUUAAGUCGGAUGUGAAAGCCCUGGGCUUAACCUAGGAAUUGCACCCGAUACUGGAUAUCUAGAGUAUGGUAGAGGGUAGUGGAAUUUCCGGUGUAGCGGUGAAAUGCGUAGAUAUCGGAAGGAACACCAGUGGCGAAGGCGGCUACCUGGAUCAAUACUGACACUGAGGUGCGAAAGCGUGGGGAGCAAACAGGGAUUAGAGACCCUGGUAGUCCACGCCGUCAACGAUGAGAACUAGCUGUUGGGAGGGACUUCCUCUUAGUAGCGAAGCUAACGCGUUAAGUUCUCCGCCUGGGGAUACGGCCGCAAGGUUA